CACCGCCCGUCACGUCAUGGAAGGUGGCAACGCCUGAAGUCGCUGUGCCAACCCCUUUGGGGGGAGCAGGCGCCUAGGGCGGGGCUGCUGACUGGGACG
This 99-nucleotide ribosomal RNA is filed under the name uncultured bacterium. RNAcentral's name for it is "partial 16S ribosomal RNA". It matches the Rfam family "Bacterial small subunit ribosomal RNA", at positions 1388 to 1482 of the family's 1533-position model. The record is from RNAcentral.